AAUUUUGGACAAUGGGGGCAACCCUGAUCCAGCAAUGCCGCGUGAGUGAAGAAGGCCUUCGGGUUGUAAAGCUCUUUUGUUCGGAAAGAAAUCGCUCAGGCGAAUAACCUGGGUGGAUGACGGUACCGGAAGAAUAAGCACCGGCUAACUACGUGCCAGCAGCCGCGGUAAUACAGAGGGGGCAAGCGUUGUUCGGAAUUACUGGGCGUAAAGGGCGCGUAGGCGGCCUUCUAAGUCGAACGUGAAAUCCCUGGGCUCAACCCAGGAACUGCGUCCGAUACUGGGAGGCUUGAAUCCGGGAGAGGGAUGUGGAAUUCCAGGUGUAGCGGUGAAAUGCGUAGAUAUCUGGAGGAACACCGGUGGCGAAGGCGGCAUCCUGGACCGGUAUUGACGCUGAUGCGCGAAAGCCAGGGGAGCAAAC
Molecule: ribosomal RNA, 421 nt
Filed under: uncultured bacterium
Lineage: Bacteria
Description: bacterial SSU rRNA
Rfam family: Bacterial small subunit ribosomal RNA
Source: RNAcentral